AAUCUAACUUUUUUAAUUGUUUAAAAUGACUAAUUAUUUUUUCAUUUUUUGGUUUCUAUUCAUUUAGUUAUGAAAAUAAAAUGAGAAGUUAAAAAGAAAAAAAAAAAGAGUUGGGCUUGUGGUGCAACUAGGGUCAGACUGGAUACAUGGCCCAAUCUGGUAGCCCAUUAUGAAGAGGGAAAAGAAGAAACCCCAAGACACCCUGGAGGCGCCGUUCCAAUGUUUCUACUUUCCAACGUUACUAUUAAAGCUUCAUCUUCAUCUGCUUUCCACUUUAUAAUGUUAAACUUAAAGCUUCAUCUUCAUCUGCUUACCCUUCAUCAUUCACGAACUCUUCUUCCUCUUCUUCUUCUUCAGAAAAAAUGGAUGCCGUUCAGCCAGAGAAAAACCCGUGACCCGGUUUAGCGCUCAUACGGGUGGGUGCCGCAACCACACCAAGGUUCUCGCACGGGUGGGUGCCGUCCCGCUCCGGUGCGCCGCAAUAGUGGCCGUAGCGGCCGAGAUUGAUAACUCUGUCUAGUAGUGGAGUCUUGGGUCUUGAGAGUGUGGUCCUCUCAAGAUCUAUCAUUUAUGAAAGCCGACUCUGUCAGGGUGCAAGGAGCGCCACCGCACGGGGUCUCAAAAUUUAUAGGGCCUCAAAUUUAAUUUAUGGGCUUAAUAUAAAUUUAUUAUUAAAUAAUAGGCAAUUUCUUUAUCCACCCCAUACCUUCUUAGGAAUCACUGCGAAAUUAAACACUCUUGUAUUUCGGAAGUGCAUUUUUGAAGUCAUAAAAAAGGGGGAUUUUAGAGAUGCAUCUCUGAAAUUAUUUUUUAUUUAAAAAUAAGGUGUUUUCGGAGAUGCAUUUCCGAAAAGGUGAUUUUGGAGAUGCAUCUCCGAAAACACAUGCGUUUUGCAGUUUAAACAAAAUAGUCUCCCCCUUUUUCAUUUUACCCUAAAACACAAAAUUUUCAAUACAACAACCAUUUGCUCCUACUACUACACAAAGGGAGACCUCUAAAAUUGCUCUACAACAUUCAAAAGCUACUUUAAAGGCUACAAUCAAAGCUUCAAAUUUGAAACCAAGCAUGACUUAGACAGGGUAGGGAGACCCAGAUCGGAUCGAAUCGACGCGAGCGGACGACACAACUAGCAUCGACACGGGGAUGGGGUCGAGUACAAGUACCCGUCCAGGGAGUUAGAGUUAGACAUACUCAGUAGCAGUUGCUUAUUUAUGUUUUAUUCUUGACUUUUUUGUAUUCGGGUUGUAUUAUUUUGUCACUGAGCACUUACCUGUACAACUAUUUUUGUAUUUAUAAUAUUGGUAUUUUAUUCAUAUUUACGUGUUAUAUUUUAUUUGUAUUUAUUCUAUUCUAUUUUGUCGAUUAAUGUAAAAUAUGAGAUUAAUCAUUGU
Molecule: long non-coding RNA, 1391 nt
Organism: Vicia villosa (hairy vetch)
Lineage: Eukaryota; Viridiplantae; Streptophyta; Magnoliopsida; Fabales; Fabaceae
Exons: 3
Source: RefSeq, a predicted model, not a curated record